This 4003-nucleotide long non-coding RNA is filed under the name Malus domestica (apple). RNAcentral's name for it is "long non-coding RNA (MDOM_LNC013852)". Lineage: Eukaryota; Viridiplantae; Streptophyta; Magnoliopsida; Rosales; Rosaceae. The record is from RNAcentral.
AUGUUUUAAGGUGGAUGAAUCAAAUGACUCUGCGCUAUCUCUUUCACACUCAUCAUCACUCUCUAACCUCUCGGAUCUCUCUGCACUCUCUCAUCUCCUUCUUUGCUAUGUCAACAGCCUCGGACUCAACACUCUCUCUAAUCCCUCGAAUCGUCUCUGCACUCUCUGCUCUACUUCUCCUCCUUGUCCUCCUCAACCAUCUUCCUCCCUCUCAUAUACUUCCUCUUCCUCUUCAUUUUCACGCAACAGCGCCGCCGUCCACCGGUCACCAACGGCCGCCAAAUUAAACUUCUAGAAUCCUUUUUCCGUCCUCUUUCCAACCCCCAAAUUAGUUUCUACAAAUUCGUAACCGAAUUUCCUCAAUUUCAGAUCUAAGAAACGGUGACCAUUGGUUUUCCGUCCAAUUUCUGGCUAAGCCCUGUCGGAAUUGGACCUCGACCCAAGAGAUCAGUGAACAAUUUCUGGGUGUCCAUAGAGUGCAAGCAAGGUGAACUUCGACGGUUGGUUAUGGCAGUUUUUUUGGUGCGUACCGUUUCGUUCCUGCCAUAUGGGUAACGUCAUUCCUUUCUUGAUUAGAAUUAUUAACUUCUAUUGGUAUUCAUGAGUGAUAGCUAUUCUUUGUUUGAGAUGGGUAAUCUUGGUUGAGAAAUUUGUUCUAAUCAGCCGCAAAAUAUGGUCGGAAGUUUGUUGUCCUUGAAGUUCAUGACUUGGAAUCGUCGGGGUUGUUCCCGGCUAGGAUAUUUUGUCAAGCUUCCUUUUUAGAUUGAAUAAAUUAUCUUGAUAUUUUCUGUUCUAUAUCGAAUAAAUUUAUCAUUUGCUGUUGCAUCUCAUGGUCAGUGUGGGGGUUUCCUGUUAUUAAGGAACUCUAUUUCGGUUAAUUUUAAGAAUACUAAGGUUCGGAUAUGUUUUUGGAUGAAAGGUGACCUUUCUUUUUGAUAUUGGAGGGGUGUUGCAUAAAAUUUGAUACCUGCAAGGCUGCACACAAGUCAAUAACAUGAAAUAUGGAUGGUGUGUAAAUUCAUCCGUCUUAGAGGUUUUGAGUUUCAUAUGUAUAGUCAAUUAUCGUACGUUCAAAGUUUGUUAUUGACCAAAAGAAAGACGAUGGGAAGCCAAGGGUUAUGGCUACUCUGAAUAAUAAUAAUAAAAUCUAAUCUUUGUAACUGGAAAACUUAAUCUAAUUAUUUGUUCUGGGAUUGUCAUGGAUAAUUAUAUUCUAGUAACGAGGUACAUGACUUCUUUGUGAAAGCUCAUGUUUUGUGUUCAGUUCAUCAUUUUGUGUUUUGGAAAAGAACAGAUCAAAUAGUGUAGAAAGUUUCAGUUUGAUUGCUUAGUUCAGAUUACUUUAAGAAAUUUGGGUUUGAGCGGACAUUUGUUUGUGGUAAUUGUUAUCCAGCUUUCUUGUUCAGAUGCAAUUGCGUUCUAGUCAUGUGCAAAAGAAAAAUGUACCUCACUAGCAAAAUGCUUUUCGAAAUUAAAAUGAACAUCCAGUGCUGACUUGUUCUCUGCAUGUUGCUUCGUGUGCAGAGAACACGAAGUAUAUGGAAGAGUGGCUCUCUUCUCUGAGCAGCAGCUGACACCGGAUGAAAUGGAUACUGGCCUAGUUUGAUGUAAUUACUUACUAGUAGUACGGGACUGGCUAAUAUAACUUUGAGUAGCAGAGAUGGGAGUAUUAUAGAGGAUUCUAGUGCCAGUAUUGCUGGAAGGUGGUUUGUUUUCCUGCUGCCUUUGCCUUGGGAUUGACUUGGAAGGAGGCUGCUGCUACUGUCUUACUCGCAAUUCAAAAUUAUGGUACUAGAUCUCUUUAAGGGAAUUAGAUCCCUCAUAUCUCAAAAUGGUAUAUAUAUAUUUAACAUGUAUUUCUACAUAGUUCAUGCCUAUUUUGGUUUAAAAGUAGAAUUGGAUAUAUGAUGUUCACCAUAUACUACUGAAUAUCAUGCAAAACCCAUUUUUGGAUUGAGGUGUUGGUCGUUAGUCUUAUACUCUUUGAAUACUGUUUGAAAAUUCUUUUUAAGAAAACGUACAAUUGCCAAAUUACUCCACAUGUAUAAAAGUAAUUUAUUUAAAGGAUGGAAUUGGUCUUUUAGUAUUAUGUGUACUCAUGCCUUUUAGUGAUGGUUUGUACUUGUGAUUAGGUUAAUUGCGUGGAGUAUUUGGGACUGGGGCGUGACAAUAGAUGCCAAAUGGUAUUGUAUCUCAUUUUGGAGUUUGGUGUUGUGAACCCUUUUGUACAUACAAGUUUAAAAUAUAUAUGCAUAUAUGUUUAUAUGCACGUGGCAUGAGGUCAUUGAUUUUUUGGGUGCAAUACAUCUUAAUUCUAAGAAGAGGAGAUUUGACUCUAUAAGUGCAGGUAUUGGAUUGCUCUGCUCUCUCAGUGUAAGUACAUCUCUGCAUAUCUUUAUUUCCUCAAUUAUAUUUGACUUUGUUAUGUUGAGUUGCCAAAUUAAAGGUAUUGCACUACUUUUUCGAUACUACAUUAAAUCUGGAACAUGUGAAACAUUAAAUUUUGAGUGUUAAUCAUUGAACAGGGGCUGCAUUUUAAAUUUGUAAACAUCCACUGUAAUGGUUUGGGGCUUGAUAGUUGUACCAAAUCUCUUUUUCUUAUUCCCAUGUGCAUGUCCAUGUGUAGACCUUUUUGCAGCUUUCUAAGUUUAGGUUUUUCUUGAUGUGUGCUUAAGUGGUUUGGGAUUACUUUCCUUUGCAGGCCUGGGUAUUAUAUAAAAUUUUGCGCUUUCAGAUUAAGGUAAAGUUUGAUUAUAUCUUAUAGUUAAUUAUGAUGCCCAUCACAAGGUGAAUAAUUUUUUUCCAUUACACUUAUGUGUUCUAUCAAUUAAACUCCAGACCAACUACUAAUCUCCUAAGUUCUUUAAAUUUGGGUUUGUUAUAUGUUGUAGGAAAUGGCAUAUUUUUUCUUUACAUUUGAAAGAGUGAAAAUUAUAUUGUUGGGACUUUGGAUUCUAUUUUUAUGUCCUAAUUUGUGUGAGGAUUGCUUGCCAUCCAUAUAAGAAUGUUACUAAAGGGUGCGUUUGGUACGUGGGACGGGACGGGACAGAACGGGACGAGGCGUUCCGUCCCGCGUUUGGUGCGCCAAAAAUGGGUGGAACGGGCUGUUCCACGGGACAGAUUUUGGGUGUUUUUGCGUCCCACCUCCUCCCCUGGAACGGGUUUGUUCCACGUCUGUGGAACACAAUGUUUUACCAUUUUAAGACAAAUAUACCCCAUGUCUUUUUCAAAAAUUACACCUUCGUUCCGUCCCGUCCCGUCCCGUUCCGUCCCGUCCGCGUACCAAACGCACCCAAAGUGUUAGGCAAAAGUCUUUAUGUUUCAAUCACAAACAAGUGCAUGUAUACAUAGCAGAAUUACACCAAUUAAUCUGUGGGAGGAAGGAUAUAUAACAGCUCGUGAGAUAAAGAUAAUCAUAAUUUGAAAAUUCGGAAGCCACUACAUACUCAUUUCUUGUUGCUCUGUGUAAAUUUUGAAGGGUCCGACACUGGCACUCAAGCAGCAUUUUGGAAAGAAGAUUUUGGAACUAGAAGAUGAGAAAAGAACUGUGCAGGUUCACUUAAAACCUUAAUAUUUGAUGUUCUUAUGCUUGAGAGAACCGAUAUUCACUUAAAACCUUUAUAAUUUUAUUUUUAUUUUAGUUGGGGAUAGAACAUGUAAAAUUAUAGUUGUUUUUACAUAUAAUGGUUGUGAAUAUCCUUGUAAAUUGUAAUAUUAUAGAUGCUUGUGGUUGUGGACUGUUUUAAUUUUAUGAAAAAAUAAUUUUAAUUUUAUGAAAAAAAUAAUUUUUUGUUUAGCCUCAAUCUCAAUUUUUAGGUGAUUUUGGUUUUUAAUUUUUUUUUAAAUGGUUGACAUAUUGGGCACAAUAACAAUAAAUGUGCUAACAUGGGUGGCAGACAACUUUGUCAGAACUGGGCACAAAAGAACCUUUAUUUGUGCUUACACUUUUCAGCACAGCAUACCUAAUUGUGCUCUUUGAUCAAAGGUGACGCCCAUAGAGGGC